AUGAUAGGCAAACAAGAACUUUAUCCCUUUCGAUUUAGUAAAGAAAAAAUAAAGUACAAUAGGAAAUACUUUGGGAACUGGGACCAACACAAGAACUACCCACAGUGUCCAAACCCUUCCCCAACCAUCACAGGACUCCAUUUGUCAUCUGUCAGCUAUUUCUUUAACCUUCGUUAUCCCAGUAAUUCCUUAGUAACUCUUACACUAAUUUCCUGUUUUGCUCCUGGCUUGUCUUUUCCUGGGAUCUCUGAGAUUUUAAUCUUGACGCACUCGGGUUUGUUCAGCUCCUGUCACUCCAAACUCAGCAGCCCCCUGUCCAUCCCUCAGCUCCAGAGGAGCCGCCCAGCUCCAUUUCCAGCUUCCGCCUUGUUUGGACUGCAACCAAAAGCCGAGAUAACGUCACCGGCCCCGGCCCAGCUGCCGUCAGCUCCCGCCGACCGGAGCUUCUUCACCUCCGAACUUUCUCCGUUCUUCUCUCACCGACACCUGCGGGGAGCCGGGACCCCCCGUCCCCCCUUCCCCAACAACGGAGCACAACAUGGCGGCGGCCGCGCCCGGCCCUUCCCGCACCGCUCCGCCCUUACCGACUUCUGUCCGCUCCGCUCGCCCACAAGCACGGACACACACGCGGCCCUUCAGGAACCGACCCCGCGCUGUUCCGCCGUCACUGUCCGACCCCCGCCCUCAGCGCUCCCUCCGCUCCGCACCGCCCCUCGCUCUCCCUCACAAAAUGGCGGCCGCGUCCUGCGCCGUUUAACACCCUCUCCCUCCUCCCCCCUCCGCGGGGCCGCUCGGCCGCAGCCAAUAGGAGCGCGCCGCUGGCCCGCUCCACCAAUGGAAGCCAAGCCCCGCCUGUUGCUGGGCGGGCCCGGGGCAGAGCGGCCGCGGCGCGAGGGCGGGCGGGGCCGCCAUUUGAAUCCCCUCACGAAGGGCAGCGCGGGAGCGGCCGCCGCUCUUUGUCCCGCCCGACCCAGCCCGGCCCCGUCCCCAUCCCCAUCCCGAUCCCGCCGUUCGUUGUCCCGCCCGGCCCGGCCCCGUCGCUCUUUGUCCGGUCCGGCCCGGCCUGGCCUCGCCGUUCUUUGUCCCGCCCGGCCCGGCCCCGUCGACGGCACCGCCCGCGGUUCCCCCGGCCCCUCUCCACAGCCCCCCGGCCAGGCUGCCAACAUCGCCUCGCCCGCGAAUUAG
RNAcentral lists this long non-coding RNA (1185 nucleotides) under Parus major (Great Tit). RNAcentral describes it as "lncRNA (ENSPMJG00000000629.1)". The record is from RNAcentral. Lineage: Eukaryota; Metazoa; Chordata; Aves; Passeriformes; Paridae.